RNAcentral lists this ribosomal RNA (253 nucleotides) under uncultured bacterium. RNAcentral's name for it is "partial 16S ribosomal RNA". It matches the Rfam family "Bacterial small subunit ribosomal RNA", at positions 524 to 776 of the family's 1533-position model. The record is from RNAcentral.
UACGGAGGGUGCAAGCGUUGUCCGGAAUCAUUGGGCGUAAAGCGCGCGCAGGCGGCUGGUCAAGUCUGCUGUGAAAGCCCGGGGCUCAACCCCGGGAGGCGGGCGGAUACUGUCGGGCUAGAGUCCGGAAGAGGCGAGUGGAAUUCCUGGUGUAGCGGUGAAAUGCGCAGAUAUCAGGAGGAACACCAAUAGCGAAGGCAGCUCGCUGGGACGGUACUGACGCUGAGACGCGAAAGCGUGGGGAGCAAACAGG